Molecule: unclassified non-coding RNA, 335 nt
Filed under: soil metagenome
Description: partial contains 5.8S ribosomal RNA, internal transcribed spacer 2, and large subunit ribosomal RNA
Rfam family: 5.8S ribosomal RNA (bases 1-120)
Source: RNAcentral
GAUGAAGAACGUAGCGAAAUGCGAUAAGUAGUGUGAAUUGCAGAAUUCAGUGAAUCAUCGAAUCUUUGAACGCACAUUGCGCCCUUUGGUAUUCCUUAGGGCAUGCCUGUUCGAGCGUCAUUUAAACCUUCAAGCUCAGCUUGGUGAUGGGCGACUGUCCCCCCCCCUCGCGGGGGGGACUCGCCUCAAAAACAUUGGCGGCCGGUACAUUGGCUUCGAGCGCAGCAGAAACGCGGUCUCGAGCCCGGUGGAUCGGCUCCCAUAAGCCUAUUCUUUUAUUUUGACCUCGGAUCAGGUAGGGAUACCCGCUGAACUUAAGCAUAUCAAGCGGAGGA